This 447-nucleotide ribosomal RNA is filed under the name uncultured bacterium. RNAcentral describes it as "bacterial SSU rRNA". It matches the Rfam family "Bacterial small subunit ribosomal RNA", at positions 355 to 825 of the family's 1533-position model. The record is from RNAcentral.
UCGGGAAUUUUGGGCAAUGGGCGAAAGCCUGACCCAGCAACGCCGCGUGAAGGAUGAAGUUUUUCGGAAUGUAAACUUCGUAAAAAUAGGAAGAAUAAAUGACGGUACUAUUUGUAAGGUCCGGCUAACUACGUGCCAGCAGCCGCGGUAAUACGUAGGGACCAAGCGUUGUUCGGAUUUACUGGGCGUAAAGGGCGCGUAGGCGGCAAUUCAAGUCAUCUGUGAAAUCUCCGGGCUUAACUCGGAACGGUCAGAUGAUACUGCUUUGCUAGAGUGCAGAAGGGGCAAUCGGAAUUCUUGGUGUAGCGGUGAAAUGCGUAGAUAUCAAGAGGAACACCUGAGGUGAAGACGGGUUGCUGGGCUGACACCGACGCUGAGGCGCGAAAGCCAGGGGAGCAAACGGGAUUAGAUACCCCUGUAGUCCCUGAGCGGGCUGGCAAGGCGCAU